GCGCCCGUAGCUCAGCUGGAUAGAGUACUUGGCUACGAACUAAGUGGUCGGGGGUUCGAAUCCCUCCGGGCGCACCA
This 77-nucleotide transfer RNA is filed under the name Rhodanobacteraceae bacterium. Its description in RNAcentral is "tRNA-Arg". It matches the Rfam family "tRNA". From Rfam's summary of the family: Transfer RNA (tRNA) molecules are approximately 80 nucleotides in length. The record is from RNAcentral. Lineage: Bacteria; Pseudomonadati; Pseudomonadota; Gammaproteobacteria; Lysobacterales; Rhodanobacteraceae.